GUCAGCAUGGCGGAGUGGUUAUCGCGUUAGACUUGAAUUUUAAACUUGGAAUCUAAUUCCUUAGGGAGCGCAGGUUCGAACCCUGCUGCUGACG
This 94-nucleotide transfer RNA is filed under the name Aspergillus ustus. It matches the Rfam family "tRNA". From Rfam's summary of the family: Transfer RNA (tRNA) molecules are approximately 80 nucleotides in length. Their secondary structure includes four short double-helical elements and three loops (D, anti-codon, and T loops). Further hydrogen bonds mediate the characteristic L-shaped molecular structure. tRNAs have two regions of fundamental functional importance: the anti-codon, which is responsible for specific mRNA codon recognition, and the 3' end, to which the tRNAs corresponding amino acid is attached (by aminoacyl-tRNA synthetases). tRNAs cope with the degeneracy of the genetic code in two manners: having more than one tRNA (with a specific anti-codon) for a particular amino acid; and 'wobble' base-pairing, i.e. permitting non-standard base-pairing at the 3rd anti-codon position. Lineage: Eukaryota; Fungi; Ascomycota; Eurotiomycetes; Eurotiales; Aspergillaceae. The record is from Rfam by way of RNAcentral.